RNAcentral lists this ribosomal RNA (159 nucleotides) under uncultured eukaryote. RNAcentral's name for it is "partial small subunit ribosomal RNA". The record is from RNAcentral.
GCUGCCCACCCAGUUUCUGAUCAAGCCGAUGCUACGAUGUAUCCGAGGUUCGAAGAGAGCUCGAAGCGGAUACACCAGAGCAGGGUACUUUGGACAUCUGUGGGGGAGAAAUCUGAAACAUUUGCAGAUCCAAAUGUAAUAAAGGGGCAGUUUUUGCGG